UACGGAGGGAGCAAGCGUUACUCGGAAUUAUUGGGCGUAAAGGGCGCGUAGGCGAUUCGGUGAGUCUCGUGUGAAAGCCCAGGGCUUAACCCUGGAAUGGCACGGGAUACUGUCGAAUUUGAGUUCCGGAGAGGAAGGCAGAAUUCCCGGUGUAGCGGUGAAAUGCGUAGAUAUCGGGAGGAAUACCAGUGGCGAAGGCGGCCUUCUGGACGGAUACUGACGCUGAGGCGCGAAAGCCAGGGGAGCAAACGGG
Molecule: ribosomal RNA, 253 nt
Filed under: uncultured bacterium
Lineage: Bacteria
Description: partial 16S ribosomal RNA
Rfam family: Bacterial small subunit ribosomal RNA
Source: RNAcentral